RNAcentral lists this ribosomal RNA (560 nucleotides) under Irpex lacteus. RNAcentral's name for it is "eukaryotic LSU rRNA". It matches the Rfam family "Eukaryotic large subunit ribosomal RNA", at positions 66 to 632 of the family's 3401-position model. Lineage: Eukaryota; Fungi; Basidiomycota; Agaricomycetes; Polyporales; Irpicaceae. The record is from RNAcentral.
UAACAAGGAUUCCCCUAGUAACUGCGAGUGAAGCGGGAAAAGCUCAAAUUUAAAAUCUGGCGGCUUUGGUCGUCCGAGUUGUAUUCUAGAGAAGUGUUUUCCGCGUUGGACCGUGUAUAAGUCUCUUGGAAUAGAGCGUCAUAGAGGGUGAGAAUCCCGUCUUUGACACGGACUACCAAUGCUUUGUGAUACACUCUCAAAGAGUCGAGUUGUUUGGGAAUGCAGCUCAAAAUGGGUGGUAAAUUCCAUCUAAAGCUAAAUAUUGGCGAGAGACCGAUAGCGAACAAGUACCGUGAGGGAAAGAUGAAAAGCACUUUGGAAAGAGAGUUAAACAGUACGUGAAAUUGCUGAAAGGGAAACGCUUGAAGUCAGUCGCGUUAGCUAGAACUCAACCAGGCUUGCUUGGCGUAUUUUCUAGUUAACGGGCCAGCAUCAGUUUUGACCGCAGGAGAAGGGCCAGGGAAAUGUGGCAUCUUCGGAUGUGUUAUAGUCUCUGGUCGUAUACUGUGAUUGGGACUGAGGACCGCAGCACGCGCAAGCUGUGCUUAGGAUGCUGGCGU